RNAcentral lists this long non-coding RNA (1640 nucleotides) under Salmo salar (Atlantic salmon). RNAcentral describes it as "lncRNA (ENSSSAG00000122037.1)". The record is from RNAcentral. Lineage: Eukaryota; Metazoa; Chordata; Actinopteri; Salmoniformes; Salmonidae.
AUUAAAUCGGGUACGUUUUUUAUCCAGCCGUGUCAAUACUGCCCCCUAGCCCUAACAGGUUUUAACCUGUUUCAAAUGAUGAGAGCAAACAUGUUGUUGAAGGUGGGAAGGAGAAAGUCUGAGAAUGGAUAGAAGAAACAAUGUGAGAGGACGAGUGUGUAUGCGAGGUAGGCGACGAGGAGGAAGAGGAGGAGGAGGAGGGCGAGAAAUAGGAAGAGGAGGACGAAGAGGAAGACAAAGAGUGGAAAUAUCUGAUGGAAUUCGAGCAACAGUUAUAGACCAUGUUCUUGUCCAUGGACUGACAGUAUGGGAAGCAGGACACGUCCUGACCAGUAGAGGGAGUAUUUGUAUUGUAGUUUGGUCAGGACGUGGCAGAAGGGUAUUUGUUUCAUAUGGUUCGGGUUGUGUGUGUAGUAUUAAAGGGGUGUUUGAUUUAUGUAUUCCGGGGUUUUAGUGUAUGUUCUGGUUUUGGUUUUCUAGGGUUUUCUGGUUUGUCUAUUUCUUUGUUGUUUGUGUGGCUCACAAUCAGGAACAGCUGUACGUUGUUGUUCCUGAUUGGGAGUCAUAUAUUAGGAGCUUGUUUUCACCUGGGGUUUUUGUGGGUAGUUAUCUUUUGCACUGCUAGUUAUAUUUAGCCUGCGAAACUGUCAUCUGUCUGUCUUUCUUUGUUUUUUCCCGUGUUCUCUUUAUUUAAUAAAUACAAGAUGAGCAUUCAUAUUCCCGCUGCGCCUUGGUCAUCUCUACACAAUGACAGCCGUUACAUUGAGCCGAUUUUCUGUGUCCACCAUAGUAUGGACAUUCAGAGAAGAGAACAGGUAGAGUAUACUACUGUAUUUUUGUAAUUGCAAAUUUACUGUAUUACACUAUGCUAUUGUUUCAACAAACAUUUGUAAAGUUAAUCACUGUAUGUAUUGUACUGCAUGAAUAUGUUUUCUAACUGCACUACUACUUUUUGUAGAAUUGCAAGGCUGCCACAUGCAGGUGGAAGGACAGCUAUAUUCACUCGGGAGCAAGAGGCCGUUAUAGUUGGCAUGGUCCUUCAAGAUAAUGCAAUAAGACUCAGAGAAAUCCAGGAACGAGUGAUACAAGACAACACACACUUCCAGGGAAUCGACAGUGUGAGCAUUUCCACAAUUGACCGUGUCCUCCAUCGUAAUAGGAUGCGAAUGAAACAAGUAUACAGAGUACCUUUUGAGCGCAACUCACCAAGGGUGAAAGAACUGCGAGCUCAGUAUGUGCAAGCAAUAUUUGACUUGGAAUCCUUGGACAGACCCCAUGAGUUCAUCUUUGUCGGUGAAGCAGGCUUCAAUCUAACAAAGAGGAGAAGGAGAGGCCGAAACAUGAUUGGACAGAGGGCCAUUGUUGAAGUCCCUGGUCAACGAGGUGGCAAUGUCACAAUCUGUGCUGCUAUCAGCAACCAUGGUGUUCUACAUCACCAUGUUACACUCGGGCCAUAUAACACCCAGCACCUUCUAAGAUUUAUUGCCAAUCUAAGAGAUAUUUUAUUUGAGCAGCAGGGUCAAGAGUUAAAUGAGAAUCCCAUUCCCACCUAUGUGAUAGUGUGGGACAAUGUCAGUUUCCACUGAGCUGCUCAGGUAAGGGAAUGGUUUAACAUCAAUGGGCAGUUUAUGAACUUGUAC